RNAcentral lists this ribosomal RNA (365 nucleotides) under uncultured Rhodococcus sp. Its description in RNAcentral is "bacterial SSU rRNA". It matches the Rfam family "Bacterial small subunit ribosomal RNA", at positions 1019 to 1382 of the family's 1533-position model. Lineage: Bacteria; Bacillati; Actinomycetota; Actinomycetes; Mycobacteriales; Nocardiaceae. The record is from RNAcentral.
UUCGUGGUCGGUGGUACAGGUGGUGCAUGGCUGUCGUCAGCUCGUGUCGUGAGAUGUGGGUUAAGUCCCGCAACGAGCGCAACCCUUGUCUUAUGUUGCCAGCACGUGAUGGUGGGGACUCGUAAGAGACUGCCGGGGUCGAACUCGGAGGAAGGUGGGGACGACGUCAAGUCAUCAUGCCCCUUAUGUCCAGGGCUUCACACAUGCUACAAUGGCCAGUACAGAGGGCUGCGAGACCGUGAGGUGGAGCGAAUCCCUUAAAGCUGGUCUCAGUUCGGAUCGGGGUCUGCAACUCGACCCCGUGAAGUCGGAGUCGCUAGUAAUCGCAGAUCAGCAACGCUGCGGUGAAUACGUUCCCGGGCCUU